Molecule: ribosomal RNA, 812 nt
Filed under: uncultured bacterium
Lineage: Bacteria
Description: bacterial SSU rRNA
Rfam family: Bacterial small subunit ribosomal RNA
Source: RNAcentral
UNUGACUUGAGUGCAGAAGGGGAGAGUGGAAUUCCAUGUGUAGCGGUGAAAUGCGUAGAUAUAUGGAGGAACACCAGUGGCGAAAGCGGCUCUCUGNUCUGUCACUGACGCUGAGGCUCGAAAGCGUGGGUAGCGAACAGGAUUAGAUACCCUGGUAGUNCACGCCGUAAACGAUGAGUGCUAGGUGUUAGGCCCUUUCCGGGGCUUAGUGCCGGAGCUAACGCAAUAANCACUCCGCCUGGGGAGUACGACCGCAAGGUUGAAACUCAAAGGAAUUGACGGGGGCCCGCACAAGCGGUGGAGCAUGUGGUUUAAUUCGAAGCAACGCGAAGAACCUUACCAGGUCUUGACAUCCCGAUGCUAUUCUUAGAGAUAGGAAGUUACUUCGGUACAUCGGAGACAGGUGGUGCAUGGUUGUCGUCAGCUCGUGUCGUGAGAUGUUGGGUUAAGUCCCGCAACGAGCGCAACCCUUAUUGUUAGUUGCCAUCAUUAAGUUGGGCACUCUAGCGAGACUGCCGGUAAUAAACCGGAGGAAGGUGGGGAUGACGUCAAAUCAUCAUGCCCCUUAUGACCUGGGCUACACACGUGCUACAAUGGUCGGUACAACGAGUUGCGAGCCGGUGACGGCAAGCUAAUCUCUGAAAGCCGAUCUCAGUUCGGAUUGGAGGCUGCAACUCGCCUCCAUGAAGUCGGAAUCGCUAGUAAUCGCGGAUCAGCACGCCGCGGUGAAUACGUUCCCGGGCCUUGUACACACCGCCCGUCACACCACGAGAGUUUGUAACACCCGAAGUCGGUGAGGUANCCUUUUAGGG